Molecule: signal recognition particle RNA, 297 nt
Filed under: Maylandia zebra (zebra mbuna)
Lineage: Eukaryota; Metazoa; Chordata; Actinopteri; Cichliformes; Cichlidae
Description: Metazoan signal recognition particle RNA (ENSMZEG00005011106.1)
Rfam family: Metazoan signal recognition particle RNA
About the family: The signal recognition particle (SRP) is a universally conserved ribonucleoprotein. It is involved in the co-translational targeting of proteins to membranes.
Source: RNAcentral
GCCGGGUGCGGUGGCGCGCGCCUGUAAUCCAAGCUACCGGGAGGCUGAGGCUGGCGGAUCGUUUGAGCUCAGGAGCUCUGAGCUGCAGCGGACUAUGCCGAUCGGGUGUCCGCACUAAGUUCGGUAUCGAUAUGGUGCUCCUGGGGAGCUCGGGACCACCAGGUCGCCUAAGGAGGGGUGCACCGGCCCAGGUCGGAAACGGAGCAGGUCAAAGCCCCCGUGCCGCUCAGUAGUGGGAUCGCGCCUGUGAAUAGACGCUGUAGUGCAGCCUGAGUAAUACAGCGGGACCCAGUCUUU